GACGAACGCUGGCGGCGUGCUUAAAAAAUGAAAGUCGAAAGGAAAGGCCCCUUUGGGGGUAGGCGAGCGGCGAACGGGUGAGUAACACGUGAGUAACCUGCCCUUGACUUCGGGAUAACUUCAGGAAACUGGGGCUAAUACCGGAUAGGAAUCCUUGCUGCAUGGUGGGGGUGGGAAAGCUUCGGCGGUUUUGGAUGGACUCGCGGCUUAUCAGCUUGUUGGUGGGGCAGUGGCUUACCAAGGCUUUGACGGGGAGGCGGCCUGGGAGGGCGACCGGCCACAUUGGGACUGAGAUACGGCCCAGACUCCUACGGGAGGCAGCAGUGGGGAAUAUUGCACAAUGGGCGGAAGCCUGAUGCAGCAACGCCGCGGGCGGGAUUCCGGCCUUCGGGUUGUAAACCGCUUUCAGCAGGGGCGAAGCUUGUGGUGACGGUACCUGCAGAAGAAGCACCGGCUCCCUACGUC
Molecule: ribosomal RNA, 465 nt
Filed under: uncultured bacterium
Lineage: Bacteria
Description: partial 16S ribosomal RNA
Rfam family: Bacterial small subunit ribosomal RNA
Source: RNAcentral